This 445-nucleotide ribosomal RNA is filed under the name uncultured bacterium. RNAcentral's name for it is "bacterial SSU rRNA". It matches the Rfam family "Bacterial small subunit ribosomal RNA", at positions 354 to 796 of the family's 1533-position model. The record is from RNAcentral.
GUAAGGAAUAUUGGUCAAUGGACGAAAGUCUGAACCAGCCAUGCCGCGUGAAGGAUUAAGGCCCUCUGGGUUGUAAACUUCUUUUAUCUGGGACGAAAAAAGGGUAUUCUUACUCACUUGACGGUACCAGAGGAAUAAGCACCGGCUAACUCCGUGCCAGCAGCCGCGGUAAUACGGAGGGUGCAAGCGUUAUCCGGAUUUACUGGGUUUAAAGGGUGCGUAGGUGGGCUUGUAAGUCAGUGGUGAAAUCUCCGGGCUUAACCCGGAAACUGCCAUUGAUACUAUAGGUCUUGAAUUAUAUGGAGGUAAGCGGAAUAUGUCAUGUAGCGGUGAAAUGCUUAGAUAUGACAUAGAACACCAAUUGCGAAGGCAGCUUACUACGUAUAUAUUGACACUGAGGCACGAAAGCGUGGGGAUCAAACAGGAUUAGAAACCCUUGUAGUCC